CUGCCCCACCUUAACUGAUGACAUUCCACCACAAAAGAAGUGUAAAUGGCUGGUCCUUGCCUUAAGUGAUGACAUUACCUUGUGAAAGUCCUUUUCCUGGCUCAUCCUGGCUCAAAAAGCACCCCCACUGAGCACCUUGUGACCCCCACUCCUGCCCGCCAGAGAACAAACCCCCUUUGACUGUAAUUUUCCUUUACCUACCCCACCUUAACUGAUGACAUUCCACCACAAAAGAGGUGUAAAUGGCUGGUCCUUGCCUUAAGUGAUGACAUUACCUUGUGAAAGUCCUUUUCCUGGCUCAUCCUGGCUCAAAAAGCACCCCCACUGAGCACUUUCCAACCCCCACUCCUGCCUGCCAGAGAACAAACCCCCUUUGACUGUAAUUUUCCUUUACCUACCCAAAUCCUAUAAAAUGGCCCCACCCUUAUCUCCCUUCGCUGACUCUCUUUUUGGACUCAGCCCGCCUGCACCCAGGUGAAAUCAACAGCCAUGGUGCUCACACAAAGCCUGUUUGGUGGUCUCUUCACACGGACGCGAAUGAAACUGACCAUAACAAGUAUUAGCAAGAAUAUGGAGCAACUGGAACUCUCAUACCAGAUAAAAUUGUACA
RNAcentral lists this long non-coding RNA (610 nucleotides) under Homo sapiens (human). RNAcentral describes it as "HSALNT0347596". The record is from RNAcentral. Lineage: Eukaryota; Metazoa; Chordata; Mammalia; Primates; Hominidae.